CUGCCGGCCGCACCUUCCCAUGGACGAUGCUGCAGGAGGUCAGCUCGGAUUCCCAGCUGAUGAAGAGGAGCUGAAUGUCUGGCCGGGUCACGCUGUGCCCUGCGUUGGGAUAGUCCAACUCGAGGAUGGAAACCUGAUCCUCCAAGCGACUGAGGGCCUGUGUUCCAAUGUAGCUGUCAGGUUGGCUCUGGAAUAGUUCAAGAUGAUGUAAUCCCAGAGUGUGAUACUGAAAAAAGUGUCUGCGAUAUAUAGAUGUGAAAUCGUUUCUCAACAGUUCAAAAGACUUGUAAAACAUAAAUGGCCCGAUGAGAAACGGGGAUUAAA
Stegostoma tigrinum is the source of this 324-nucleotide long non-coding RNA. RefSeq lists it as uncharacterized. NCBI's taxonomy places the organism in Eukaryota, Metazoa, Chordata, Chondrichthyes, Orectolobiformes, Stegostomatidae. The transcript is spliced from 3 exons. The record is from RefSeq and is a predicted model, not a curated record.